CGCGUUGCGGCCGCUCGUAGAUCCGCUUUCAAAUCGUUCUGUAUUUGUUACCGUAAACCACACUAAGUGUUUAACAUAGUAUAUAUAUCGUGUGCAAUUGUUAUUUUACAUUGAUAUCGUGAUUUCGGUGCCUGUAAUCCGUUUAAUGUAUCCGUAAUUGAUCGUGCCGCGAGUGACCGCGAAACCGCGAAAUCGCGUUUGAAUCGCUCCGUGUGAAUCGCUUUCGUGAAUAUCAUUGUCUGAAAUCUGAAUCCCGUGUGCGAAGAAUAAUCGCGUGUGAUAUUAAGGAAGUAUAGGACUUUCUUCCUAAUGCUAUAAACAUCAGUGCUGUAAACAGCCGUUAUUCCGAUGCCGCUUCUGUAUUAGAAGUUCGCCGAAAUUAUUCUCGAUUGUUUUCCUAGAAAUGCAGCGCAUGUGUGAGUGGUCUCAUCUACAUCGCCAGAAUCCUCGAGGCAUCCUCUAACGUGGAGCGUCGAAGGAGGUGAUGGAGGAGACUGCGGUAGGAAUCGUUGCGAUUAUUAUUGCACAUUGAAACAGGUUCAAAAGUAUGUAUUGCGGUGUUUAUAAUGCAGUGAUCCGAAUAUCAAAUGAAAACGAUGCAGCGGGUAAUGCAAUUAAACGAACAACGAAAUCGGAUCUUCGGGGCGUCUGAGACGUGGAAGAGAGAUUGCAGUUAAAGGUGACUGAUCGCUUAAUAUCGUGACAAGAUAAUAUUUCGCUGUUCCGUCAUCAAGCGGCUUUAUCGCAGUAGGCUUAAGUAUCCUCACCGUAGUAUCCUGCGAGACCAUAAACUCACCCGGGAAUCGAGAGAUUGAGGAUAUUUCAAAAUGUGUUUUCUGAUGCGUGACCACCGCCUACGUCAACUGUCGCGAACGAACACGGAGAGAAUGACUUGCAUCGGUCUGUUCGUAGAGUAGCUGCUGAAGAUGCCAUUUGAUAGCAACCUGGUGGAGGCUCGCUGGCAUUCAUCAUCGUAGGUCCUAUCUGCAUACAGAUCUGAACAAGCUGACGGAAAGAGCGUAUGACAUAGCUGGAUCAUCAGCAAGCCAACCAUAAAUGAAAAAGAGUGACAGUGAAUAAUGCUAAUGGCGAUCAUGACAGCUAGCACGACAACCAGUACAAAAAACAAUCUUAACUUGAUGAUUGAAACAAUCUAUAAUAUGAAAAUGAAAUAAUAUAUCUCUGACGUGUGAUUAUUCGUUUCAUGUUCAUAAAAUUAUAAAUAUGUUUAUAAAUUUACGUUUUAUAGGAGAUGCAAUGUUACAUUUUUUAAAUUUAUUAAGCACGUAUUUGAAUGUAUUUGGUAUAUUUUGCUUAUGUGUAAUCUAUCUUGAAGUUUAUAAACAGUACUUAUAAUUUUAUAAAGUAAAACAGUUUUGUGAACUUACAAUCGAGUUUUCGGUAGAGACAAAAUUUAUCUUAUCGACAAUAAGUUAUUCAACACAGUCACAAUACUUUAUUUUAAUCUUAAUUUCUUAUGUUUCUACGUUUAGCUUGGUCAUAUGUGUAGCCUGAACAUUUAUUGUACUUUAGGUAAUUUAGACUUAUUAUGACUCCUUAAUUAUUAUUAUAUUAUA
Linepithema humile (Argentine ant) is the source of this 1577-nucleotide non-coding RNA. The record is from RefSeq and is a predicted model, not a curated record. Lineage: Eukaryota; Metazoa; Arthropoda; Insecta; Hymenoptera; Formicidae.